Molecule: ribosomal RNA, 470 nt
Filed under: uncultured bacterium
Lineage: Bacteria
Description: bacterial SSU rRNA
Rfam family: Bacterial small subunit ribosomal RNA
Source: RNAcentral
GACGAACGCUGGCGGCGUGCUUUAGACAUGCAAGUCGAACGAGAUCUUCGGAUCUAGUGGCGAACGGCGGAGUAAUACAUAAACAACGUGCCCUGAAGACUGGGAUAUACGGUCGAAAGGCCGAGCAAUACCGGAUGUGGCCGAGACUAGGCAUCUAGACUCGAUUAAAUGGUUUUUCGCUUCAGGAGCGGUUUAUGACUCAUCAGCUAGUUGGUAGGGUAAUGGCCUACCAAGGCUACGACGGGUAGGGGGUCUGAGAGGAUGAUCCCCCCGAGUGGGACUGAGACACGGCCCACACACCUACGGGUGGCAGCAGUUUGGAAUCUUGCCCAAUGGGGGAAACCCUGAGGCAGCGACGCCGCGUGGAGGAUGAAGGAUUUAGGUCUGUAAACUCCUUUUGCCAGGAAAGACUUAGGACGGUACCUGGCGAAUAAGCUCCGGCUAACUACGUGCCAGCAGCCGCGGUAAAU